This 333-nucleotide unclassified non-coding RNA is filed under the name Hevea brasiliensis (rubber tree). Lineage: Eukaryota; Viridiplantae; Streptophyta; Magnoliopsida; Malpighiales; Euphorbiaceae. The record is from RNAcentral.
AAAAAAGAUGACUAUGCUGUAAAAGAGAAGCCAUUGCUAGUUGAGGAUAUGCAGGGAGGCGCAGAUCACAUAGUUCUGAAAAAUUUGGACACAGAUAGUAUUCGUAUAAUAAGCAGUGUGCUUGGCCAAAGUAUUGCCCUUGAUUACUUUGUCUCACAGGUUGAUGGUAUGGUUGAAGAGUUUGCUGGGAUAAAUCGUGAAAUGGAGAAAACAGGGACUUUCACAAUGACAAGGAAGAAAUUGUUCCAACUUGUGGGCAAGGCUAACUCAAAUAUAGCUGAUGUAAUUUUGAAAGUAGGUAUCUUUGAAAGAUCUGAAAUUGCUUGGAGAGAU